This 263-nucleotide ribosomal RNA is filed under the name uncultured bacterium. RNAcentral's name for it is "partial 16S ribosomal RNA". It matches the Rfam family "Bacterial small subunit ribosomal RNA", at positions 333 to 588 of the family's 1533-position model. The record is from RNAcentral.
UUUCUCCUACGGGACGCAGCAGUAGGGAAUUUUCGUCAAUGGGCGCAAGCCUGAACGAGCAAUGCCGCGUGAACGAGGAAGGUCUUCGGAUCGUAAAGUUCUGUUGAAGGGGAAAAAGAGCGGAGAGAGGAAAUGGUCUCCGAUUGAUAUUACCCUUCGAGGAAGUCACGGCUAACUACGUGCCAGCAGCCGCGGUAAUAGGUAGGGGGCAAGCGUUAUCCGGAUUUAAUGGGUGUAAAGGGAGCGGAGCAGGCCGCGCAAGU